RNAcentral lists this ribosomal RNA (376 nucleotides) under uncultured bacterium. RNAcentral's name for it is "bacterial SSU rRNA". It matches the Rfam family "Bacterial small subunit ribosomal RNA", at positions 521 to 896 of the family's 1533-position model. The record is from RNAcentral.
UAAGACGAACCGUGCAAACGUUGUUCGGAAUCACUGGGCUUAAAGGGCGCGUAGGCGGGUGGUCUUGUCCGAGGUGAAAGCCUCCCGCUCAACGGGAGAAGUGCCUUGGAAACGGGCCGCCUCGAGGGGGAUAGGGGCAUGUGGAACUUCCGGUGGAGCGGUGAAAUGCGUAGAUAUCGGAAGGAACGCCGGUGGCGAAAGCGACGUGCUGGGUCCCUUCUGACGCUGAGGCGCGAAAGCCAGGGGAGCAAACGGGAUUAGAUACCCCGGUAGUCCUGGCCCUAAACGAUGGGUACUAGGUUGCGGACUGGACAUGGGUUCGCAGCCGAAGCAAAAGUGAUAAGUACCCCGCCUGGGGAGUAUGGUCGCAAGGCUG